CCUACGGGUGGCAGCAGUGGGGAAUAUUGCACAAUGGGGGAAACCCUGAUGCAGCGACGCCGCGUGAGUGAAGAAGUAAUUCGUUACGUAAAGCUCUAUUAGCAGGGAAGUAAUACUGACCUUACGGUCAGCAGACGGUACCUGAGUUAGAAGCGCCGGCUAACUACGUGCCAGCAGCCGCGGUAAUACGUAGGGGGCAAGCGUUAUCCGGAUUUACUGGGUGUAAAGGGAGCGUAGACGGGGCGCCAAGUCUGGUGUGAAAUGCUGCAGCUUAACUGCGGAACUGCAUUGGAAACUGGCGAACUAGAGGGCAGGAGGGGUAAGCGGAAUUCGUAGUGUAGCGGUGAAAUGCGUAGAUAUUAGGAGGAACACCGGUGGCGAAGGCGGCUUACUGAACCGUAACUGACGUUGAGGCUCGAAAGCGUGGGGAGCAAACAGGAUUAGAUACCCUUGUAGUC
RNAcentral lists this ribosomal RNA (458 nucleotides) under uncultured bacterium. Its description in RNAcentral is "partial 16S ribosomal RNA". It matches the Rfam family "Bacterial small subunit ribosomal RNA", at positions 338 to 795 of the family's 1533-position model. The record is from RNAcentral.